CAUGCAGUCGAGCGGACAGAAGGGAGCUUGCUCCCGGACGUUAGCGGCGGACGGGUGAGUAACACGUGGGCAACCUGCCCCUUAGACUGGGAUAACUCCGGGAAACCGGAGCUAAUACCGGAUAAUCCCUUUCUCCACCUGGAGAGAGGGUGAAAGAUGGCUUCGGCUAUCACUAGGGGAUGGGCCCGCGGCGCAUUAGCUAGUUGGUAAGGUAACGGCUUACCAAGGCGACGAUGCGUAGCCGACCUGAGAGGGUGAUCGGCCACACUGGGACUGAGACACGGCCCAGACUCCUACGGGAGGCAGCAGUAGGGAAUCUUCCGCAAUGGACGAAAGUCUGACGGAGCAACGCCGCGUGAGUGAGGAAGGCCUUCGGGUCGUAAAGCUCUGUUGUGAGGGAAGAAGCGGUACCGUUCGAAUAGGGCGGUACCUUGACGGUACCUCACCAGAAAGCCACGGCUAACUACGUGCCAGCAGCCGCGGUAAUACGUAGGUGGCAAGCGUUGUCCGGAAUUAUUGGGCGUAAAGCGCGCGCAGGCGGCUUCUUAAGUCUGAUGUGAAAUCUCGGGGCUCAACCCCGAGCGGCCAUUGGAAACUGGGGAGCUUGAGUGCAGAAGAGGAGAGUGGAAUUCCACGUGUAGCGGUGAAAUGCGUAGAGAUGUGGAGGAACACCAGUGGCGAAGGCGACUCUCUGGUCUGUAACUGACGCUGAGGCGCGAAAGCGUGGGGAGCAAACAGGAUUAGAUACCCUGGUAGUCCACGCCGUAAACGAUGAGUGCUAGGUGUUAGGGGUUUCGAUGCCCGUAGUGCCGAAGUAACACAUAAGCAC
This 829-nucleotide ribosomal RNA is filed under the name Shouchella clausii. RNAcentral describes it as "bacterial SSU rRNA". It matches the Rfam family "Bacterial small subunit ribosomal RNA", at positions 54 to 867 of the family's 1533-position model. The record is from RNAcentral. Lineage: Bacteria; Bacillati; Bacillota; Bacilli; Caryophanales; Bacillaceae.